UUCCGGCGUGCGAGGGGCGGGGCCAGAACACUGGAGUGAAUCAAAAUUCAUCAAUGGACUCUUGAGACUGUACGUACGUGCGGACUUGACCCCUGGGGCUGACAAGUGCCAUCCAGCAGCUACCAAGAGGGAUGUCCCUUGAGGUCAAUGACCCCUGGAUUGGGUAAGCCCAAGAAUUGGGGAAUCACCAAAGUCUGCCAGAGAUGGAUAAAAGGCAGCAAAGAAUGACCCCCAAUGGCACCCUCUUUGACCUGACAAGCACCCUGCCUGUCCAGCCAGAAGGAGCAGCUGGUGACCCCCUUCUGAAGUAACAUUGCACUGAAAGAAGCCUCAAUUGGCCCUCAAUGGCAGACUCCAGUGCUUGCGGAUAGGUAUAUCUUGACACCAGUGCUUAGUGUUCAGAGCUAGCUACUGUGAGUGCGUGUGAACGUGUGUGUGUUUGAGGGGAUCAGCACCAAGGUUUAUGGUCUGACUUUUGUAUCCAUCCAAUAAACUAGAAUUGUAUGAUGAUCCUGUGAGUUGGUGCUUUGUAGCCAACAGUGGUACCCUGGUUGGGAAUCACUGCCCCACAGCCACCCCACAGUGAAUUGUUCCCAGUUCCUUAUUCCUACUUCCUAGGGAACUGGGAAUGAGGAACUUAACUUCAGCCUCCUCAAUGCUGAGCCAAGUUGAGGCAAGCUGGGUUACAAUUAGUUGGUGUCCUGUCAAAUCUCACUUCAGACUACAGGAGGAAGCUUGAGCCCAUAGCAUAGCCCAUGUUUGAGCAGCUGUCUCUUCAUGCAGAGGGGAGGGAUGUGGAAGAGCUGGAAGUUUAAUGGAACUGGGUUUGGCUGAUACAGACCAGUUUAAUAUGAAAGGGGUUUUCAAGGUGCAGGUCUACCUAAAAACUGAACUGUUCCCACAUCACCUACUGGGAACCAAUUCAUAAUUAAUAAAAUCUUACAGGGGUCAAACUGGAGCUCUAGAAGUCAUCUAGAAGUCUGCUGGAGGAAGGAUCAUCCCUAUCUAGAACAUCUCAUACAAACCAUAAUAAAAACUCUAUGGAAAACUCCUGUCAACUUGACACAACACAGACCUCAUUGUGUCAAGUGCUGUAGUUCUGAGGGCAGGGGAUGGGAAUGAGCAACCAGCCUCAGAGUGUGAGUGUGUGUAGGGAAGGUGGGAGUUGGGUACUUGCACUCAUGCCCUCUGGGGCUAAGGGGGUGAAUGACCUGUGGGUGGGGAUGUUCUUACUUUUUGGUGUUCUCUUCUCUGUGAAACACAAGGUUCAAUGAACUCCAAAUUGACCAAAGUCCCAGUCAAUUCUUUGUCACCUGCUUUGGUGGGGGAAGGGAAGGAAGGGAAGAGAGCUCAAUUUACUAGUUCCUAGGGAGCCAUGAUGAGGGGGCAUAAAUCAAGGAGGAAGCAAGGACACAGCUGGUUGUUAGAAAGAUAGCUUUUAUUGACCAAGCCGUGCAAGGAAACUCAUUGGUAAAAAAGUGCCAGUAAAAGGGGCAUGAAGGGGCAGUAGAGUUCUGGCUACAUACCAGAGUGGCCAGUUGCAGCAGCAGGUGUAGGAGGGUUGAAGAGAAAUGAAGCACAGAAUGCCUGGAGGACCAUCAGACUGAUGCCCUGGAAUGCUGAGUGUCCACAUGUGAACCCAUCACUAACUUGGUUCAAACAGCACUCAAUUUUCCACUUUCUACUGCACCUUUAAAUCAUUUGAAGCAGCUUAAAGCCAGUUUAACAGACUCAUAUGUCUACUUCAGAUUAAAACUGCAUUUAAACCAG
Long non-coding RNA from Alligator mississippiensis (American alligator), 1770 nucleotides. RefSeq lists it as uncharacterized. The record is from RefSeq and is a predicted model, not a curated record. The transcript is spliced from 2 exons. NCBI's taxonomy places the organism in Eukaryota, Metazoa, Chordata, Crocodylia, Alligatoridae.